AAUGAACGCUGGCGGCGCGCCUAAUACAUGCAAGUCGAGCGAGAAGACGUAGCAAUACGUUUGUAAAGCGGCGAACGGGUGAGGAAUACAUGGGUAACCUACCCUCGAGUGGGGAAUAACUAGCCGAAAGGUUAGCUAAUACCGCGUACGCUUCUUGGACUUCGGUUCAGGGAGGAAAGCGAUGCCGAGGGUAUCGCGCUCUUGGAUGGGCUCAUGUCCUAUCAGCUUGUUGGGAGGUAACGGCUCACCAAGGCUUCGACGGGUAGCUGGUCUGAGAGGAUGAUCAGCCACACUGGGACUGAGACACGGCCCAGACUCCUACGGGAGGCAGCAGUGGGGAAUAUUGGACAAUGGGCGAAAGCCUGAUCCAGCAAUGCCGCGUGUGUGAAGAAGGCCU
This 397-nucleotide ribosomal RNA is filed under the name uncultured bacterium. RNAcentral describes it as "bacterial SSU rRNA". It matches the Rfam family "Bacterial small subunit ribosomal RNA", at positions 29 to 417 of the family's 1533-position model. The record is from RNAcentral.